UCUCAAGUCGGUGGUGGCCUCAUCAAUUCUCAAGGGCAUUCCUAUUGCCCCAGAUAAGGCGAAAAGGAACCCCUUCGCACGUAAAUGUACUGGAAGCAGAGGGAACGAUACCCAUACGGGAACUAUCGGAGUCUCUUGCUCAGGUGUAAAGUCACAUGUCCACUUAAGGACUCUCAUCGGACAACCAUCAAUAUACCAUGAAGGUUUAAGAAAAAGCCUGCUGUAAUCCUCCUCAUGUGUAAGGUGUAUAAGAAUGUGUGUUGUGUCAAUCAAUCCCACCUCGAAACAACCAUGGAACCCAAACUUUGAAAAAAUCUCACGUACCUUCCUCAUGGUUGGCUUGCGAUGUGGAAAUUUCCCCACAAGUGUAUACUUGUAAGGAUCAGCGAGUGUAGCCUCCUCGGACUCAGUCAAAACUAUUGCCGGCUCACCCAUAUGUAUAAAGGGUUCUUUAGCAGCAAACCCAGCAGUGGAAGAGUCAUCUAUACCCUGUAUAAUCGAUGCAAACGACUUUCGUGAACUCCGUUCAGCUUGAGACAGGGGUUUAGGGUUUAGGGGUUAAGGUUUAGGGUUUAGGGUUUAGGGUUUAGGGUUUUAGGGUUUUAGGGUUUAGGGUUUAGGUUUUUUUUUUUUUUUUUUUUUUUUUUUUUUAAGCAAAUGCCACUAGUGUGGUUUAUUUUAUAUAAUGAAAAGCGGGAAUACAAAGAGAGGAGGGGGGCAUCGACCUGACCUCCAGCAAAUGUAAAUUGUAACAAAUAUCUGAAGAUAAAAUGCAAUCAUAGUAAACAAGACACAAACAAAAACUAAUGAAAGGUACUCAUGGGUAUUCCCGAGGGUAAAUCUUCGGGUGGUAGUACAUAGACAUUGAUCGNNNNNNNNNNNNNNNNNNNNNNNNNNNNNNNNNNNNNNNNNNNNNNNNNNNNNNNNNNNNNNNNNNNNNNNNNNNNNNNNNNNNNNNNNNNNNNNNNNNNNNNNNNNNNNNNNNNNNNNNNNNNNNNNNNNNNNNNNNNNNNNNNNNNNNNNNNNNNNNNNNNNNNNNNNNNNNNNNNNNNNNNNNNNNNNNNNNNNNNNNNNNNNNNNNNNNNNNNNNNNNNNNNNNNNNNNNNNNNNNNNNNNNNNNNNNNNNNNNNNNNNNNNNNNNNNNNNNNNNNNNNNNNNNNNNNNNNNNNNNNNNNNNNNNNNNNNNNNNNNNNNNNNNNNNNNNNNNNNNNNNNNNNNNNNNNNNNNNNNNNNNNNNNNNNNNNNNNNNNNNNNNNNNNNNNNNNNNNNNNNNNNNNNNNNNNNNNNNNNNUCAGCAAAUGAGAGAUGUGAGACAAGAGCACUACCUCCAUGUCGAUAACACAUACUGGGAUACUGCUGAAACCUCUGAGUGAGCAAGCGUGAGAAGUAGUCUGCUGCAAUGAUGAACAAGGAUGGGGAGAUAGGAUCACCCUGUCUGAGUCCUCGUGAGGAGGGAAAGAAACCACAUGGGCGGCCAUUUAGGAGUACGGAGAAACGACACUCCGAAACGCACCGCCUGAUUCUGUCAAUCCAGAUCUGAUCAAAUCCAAAUGCCUCCAAUACAGAAUAAAUGAAGCCCCAGUCCAUGCGAUCAUAUGCUUUAGCCAUGUCUAACUUCAGCAUAGUGUUUCCCCCUCGCACUCUAUCAUCCAAAGUGUAGAGAAGCUCCUGAGCCAAUAAAACAUUAUCUCCAAUCAGACGGCCUGGGAUGAAACCACUCUGUGGAGGGGAAAUAAUGCGCGGUAGCAGUGUACUCAACCGAGUGUUCAAAAGCUUAGUAAUAAUCUUAUUGAACACAGUGCAUAAGCUGAUUGGCCUGAAUUCAGUCCAUCUGCAAGCACCAUCCUUCUUAGGUAGCAAGACAAUAGAAGUAGCAGCAAAACCCCGUGGAAGAUGACCACCAUCAAAGAAGUCCAAUACCGCCCUGUAAACAUCCUCCUGAAUAAUAUCCCAACCGUUGUGGGUUUAGCUCACGAUUUCGUAAUGACGUAUUAGGGUUUUCAUCCUUUUUUUGAAGAACGACCACUCGCAUAUUUUUAACGCUUGGAUUUUCGACCUUCGAAGAAAUGAGCGUAACUUAUGCAAACGGUGUCCGUUUCGGGCCCAUAAGUACUUUUCGGAAAUGUAGGGACCCUUUUGGACUGCACUAACAACUUCGUCAUGACGUUUGAGGAAUUUUGACCAUUUUAUGAAGAACAUGCACCUGCAUAUUUGGAUUGACGUUGUUCGAAGAAUUGAGCAUAACUUUUACAGACGUGUCCUUUAUGCGACCAUAGGUACUUUUUGGAAAUGUUGCGACCGUUUAGGGUUUAGCUCACGAUUUCGUAAUGACGUAUUAGGGUUUUCUUCCUUUUUUUGAAGAACGACCACUCGCAUAUAUUUUAACGCUUGGAUUUUGAACCUUCGAAGAAAUGAGUGUAACUUAUGCAAACGGUGUCCGUUUUGGGCCCAUAAGUACUUUUCAAAAAUGUAGCGACCCUUUUGGACUGCACUCACAACUUCGUCGUGACGUAUGAGGGAUUUUGACCAUUUUUUGAAGAACGUGCAGCUGCAUAUUUGGAUUGACAGCGUUUGAAGAAUUGAGCAUAACUUUCGUAGACGGUGUCCGUUUUGGGACCAUAAGUAGUUUUCGGAAAUGUAGCCACCGUUGUGGGUUUAGCUCACGAUUUCGCAAUGACGUCUUAGGGUUUUUGUCCUUUUUUUGAAGAACGACCACUCGCAUAUUUUUAACUCUUGGAUUUUCGACCUUCGAAGAAAUGAGGGUAACUUAUGCAAACGAUGUCCGUUUCGGGCCCAUAACUGCUUUUUCGAAAUGCAGCGACCCUUUUGGGCUGCACUCACAACAUCGUCAUGACGUAUGAGGGAUUUUGACCAUUUUAUGAAGAACGUUCACCUGCAUAUUUGUAUUGACGUUGUUCGAAGAAUUGAGCAUAACUUUUGCAGACGGUGUCCGUUAUGAGACCAUAGGUACUUUUCGGAAAUGUUGCGAACGUUUAGGGUUUAGCUCAUGAUUUCGUAAUGACGUAUUAGGGUUUUUGUUCUUUUUUGAAGAACGACCACUCGCAUAUUUUUAACGCUUGGAUUUUUGACCUUCGAAGAAAUGAGCGUAACUUAUGCAAACGGUGUCCGUUUUGGGCCCAUAAGUACUUUUCGAAAAUGUAGCGAUCCUUUCGGAUUGAACUCACAAAUUCGUCCGGACGUAUGAGGGAUUUUGACCAUUUUAUGAAGAACGUGCACCUGCAUAUUUGGAUUGACGUUGUUCGAAGAAUUGAGCAUAACUUUUGUAGACGGUGUCCGUUAUGCGACCAUAGGUACUUUUCGGAAAUGUUGCGAACGUUUAGGGUUUAGCUCAUGAUUUCGUAAUGACGUAUUAGGGUUUUCGUCCUUUUUUUGAAGAACGACCACUCGCAUAUUUUUAACGCUUGGAUUUUCGACCUUCGAAGAAAUGAGCGUAACUUAUGUAAACGGUGUUCGUUUUGGGCCCAUAAGUACUUUUCGGAAAUGUAGCGACCCUUUUGGACUGCACUCAUAGCUUCGUCGUGACGUAUGAGGGAUUUUCACCAUUUUAUGAAGAACGUGCACCUGCAUAUUUGGAUUGACGUUGUUUGAAGAAUUGAGCAUAACUUUUGCAGAUGGUGUCCGUUAUGCGAACAUAAGUACUUUUUGGAAAUGUUACGACCAUUUAGGGUUUAGCUCACGAUUUCGUAAUGAUGUAUUAGGGUUUUUGUCCUUUUUUUGAAGAACGACCACUCGCAUAUAUUUUAACGCUUGGAUAUUCGACCUUCGAAGAAAUGAGCGUAACUUAUGCAAACGGUGUCCGUUUUGGGCCCAUAAGUACUUUUUGAAAAUGUAGCGAUCCUUUUGGAUUGAACUCAUGACUUUGUCGUGACGUAUGAGGGAUUUUGACCAUUUUUUGAAGAACGUGCAGCUGCAUAUUUGGAUUGACAGCGUUUGACGAAUUGAGCAUAACUUUUGCAGACGGUGUCCGUCUUGGGACCACAAGUAGUUUUCGAAAAUGUUGCAAUCGUUGUAGAUUUCGCUCACGAUUUCGUAAUGACGUAUUAAGGUUUUCGUCCUUUUUUGAAGAACGACCACACGCAUAUUUUUAACGCUUCAAUUUUUGACCUUCGAAAAAUGAGCGUAACUUAUGCAAACGGUGUCCGUUUCGGGCCCAUAAGUACUUUUCGGAAAUGUAGCGACCCUUUUGGACUGCACUCACAACUUCGUCGUGACGUAUAAGGGAUUUUGACCAUUUUAUGAAGAACGUGCACCUGCAUAUUUGGAUUGACGUUGUUCGAAGAAUUGAGCAUAACUUUUGCAGACGGUGUCCGUUAUGCGACCAUAGGUACUUUUCGAAAAUGUUGCGACCGUUUAGGGUUUAGCUCACGAUUUCCUAAUGACGUAUUAGGGUUUUUGUCCUUUUUUUGAAGAACGACCACUCGCAUAUUUUUAACGCUUGGAUUUUCGACCUUCGAAGAAAUGAGCAUAACUUAUGCAAACGGUGUCCGUUUUGGGCCCAUAAGUACUUUUCGAAAAUAUACCGAACCUUUUGGAUUGAACUCACAAAUUCGUCGUGAUGUAUGAGGGAUUUUGACCAUUUCAUGAAGAACGUGCACCUGCAUAUUUGGAUUGACGUUGUUCGAAGAAUUGAGCAUAACUUUUGCAGACGGUGUCCGUUAUGGGUCCAUAAGUACUUUUUGAAAAUGUUGCGACCGUUUAGGGUUUAGAUCAUGAUUUCAUAAUGACGUAUUAGGGUUUUCAUCCUUUUUUUGAAGAACGACCACUGGCAUAUUUUUAACGCUUGGAUUUUCGACCUUCGAAGAAAUGAGCGUAACUUAUGCAAACGGUGUCCGUUUUGGGCCCAUAAGUAAUUUCGGAAAUGUAGCGACCCUUUUGGAUUGAACUCACAACUUCGCCGUGACGUAUGAGGGAUUCUGACCAUUUUAUGAAGAACGUGCACUUGCAUAUUUGGAUUGACGUUGUUCGAAGAAUUGAGCAUAACUUUUGCAGACGGUGUCCGUUAUGCGACCGUAGGUACUUUUCGGAAAUGUUGCGACCAUUUAGGGUUUAGCUCAGGAUUUCGUAAUGACGUAUUAGGGUUUUCGUCCUUUUUUUGAAGAACGACCACUCGCAUGUUUUUAAGGCUUUGAUUUUCGACCUUCGAAGAAAUGAGCGUAACUUAUGCAAACGGUGUCCGUUUUGUGCCCAUAAGUACUUUUCGGAAAUGUAGCGACCCUUUUGGAUUGAACUCACAACUUCGUCGUGGCAUAUGAGGGAUUUUGACCAUUUUUUUAAGAACGUGCUGCUGCAUAUUUGAAUUGACAGCGUUCGAAGAAUUGAGCAGAACUUUUGCAGACGGUGUCCAUUAUGCGACCAUAGGUACUUUUCGAAAAUGUUGCGACCGUUUAGGGUUUAGCUCACGAUUUCCUAAUGACGUAUUAGGGUUUUCGUCCUUUUUUUGAAGAACGACCACUCGCAUAUUUUUAACGCAUGAUUUUUCGACCUUCAAAGAAAUGAGCGUAACUUAUGCAAACGGUGUCCGUUUUGGGCCCAUAAGUACUUUUCGGAAAUGUGGCGACCCUUUUGGACUGCACUCACGACUUCAUCGUGAUGGAUGAGGGAUUUUCACCAUUUUAUGAAGAACGUGCACCUGCAUAUUUGGAUUGACGUUGCUCGAAGAAUUGAGCAGAACUUUUGCAGACGGUGUCCGUUAUACGACCAUAGGUACUUUUCGAAAAUGUUGCGGCCGUUUAGGGUUUAGCUCACGAUUUCGUAAUGACGUAUUAGGGUUUUCGUCCUUUUUUUGAAGAACGACCACUCGCAUAUUUUUAACUCUUGGAUUUUCGACCUUCGAAGAAAUGAGCGUAACUUUUGCAAACGAUGUCCGUUUUGGGCCCAUAAGUACUUUUCGGAAAUGUAGCGACCCUUUUGGAUUGAACUCACAAAUUCAUCUUGACGUAUGAGGGAUUUUGACCAUUUUUUGAAGAACGUGCAGCUGCAUAUUUGGAUUGAUGGCGUUCGAAGAAUUGAGCAUAACUUUCAUAGACGGUGUCCGUUAUGGGACCAUAAGCACAUUUCGGAAAUGUAGCGACUGUUUUGGGUUUAGCUUUUUUUUUUUUUUUUUUGGUAAAGACAUCCACACAUCCUUAGUGACUUUUUAGGGUCCACCCAGGAAGGUCGAUGGGGGUUAAGGGUUUCCCAACCAUAUUUAUUUCAUAAAAAUCAAGAAUACACGGAAGGAGGGGGCAUGAACCUGACCUCCAAAAAGCAGUGAUGCAACAAAUGAAUGUAAUAAAUGAAAGCAAUAAAUGAGGAAGUACUACUUCCCUAUACAAUAAAGAAUAGCCUAAAUUACGAACCUCUAAAACUGGGCAAUCCAUGUCUGUCGAUCCGCACUAUCGCCCUAAAUUUCACCUAAAUUUUGUUGGUUGGUGCAUUUCCAACCAAAUUUGACUAAAAUUUUAUUCCGAUUUUGUUUAUUGGCACGUUUCUAAUCAAAUUUGACUGAAACAACACACGGAUUUAGUUCAUCGGCAUAUUUCUCAUCAAAUUUGACUAAAAUUUCACACGAGUUUGGUUAAUUGAUCCGUUUCCAAUCAAAUUUGUAUGAAAAUUUUCCUAAUUUUAGUUCAUUAUUGCAUUUCCAAUCAAAUUUGACUAAAAUUUCACCUGGGUUUAAUUCAUUUUAGCGUUACCAAUCGAAUUUGACUAAAAUUUCACCUAAAUUUAGUUCUUUGGUGUGUUUCUAUUCAGACUUGACUGAAAUUUUACCUGAAUUUUGUUUGUUGGUGCGUUUCCAAUAAAAUCCGACUAAAAGUUUUCCUGCUCUUGGUUUAUUGGUGCGUUUCCAAUCAAAUUUGACUAAAAUUUGACCUGGGCUUAGUUCUUCGACGUGUUUCAAUUCAAACUUGACUAGAAUUUUACCUGAAUUUUGUUUGUUGGGGGUAUUUCCAAUCAAAUUUGACUAAAAUUUCAUCGAAAUUUCGUUCAUUGGUGUUUUCGAUCAAAUUUGACUGAAAUAUCACCUGGGCUCAGUUAAUUAGCGCAUUUGUAAUCAAAUUUGGUUAAAUUUUCAUCUUUGUUUUGUUCAUUAGUGGGAUUCCAAUCAAAUUUGACUAAAAUAUCACCUGGGUUUAGUUCUUUGGCCCUUUUCCAAUCAAAUUUGACAAAAUUUCACUUGGAUUUAGAUCGUUGGCGUGUUUUCAAUCAAAUUUGACUAAAAUAUCGCCUAGGUUUUUAGUUCAUUGGCACUUUUUCAAUCAAAUUUGGCUAAAAUUUAUCUGAGUGUUAUUCAUUAGCACGAUUCCAAUCAAAUUUGAAUAAGUUCUUUUCUAGAUUUAGUUUAUUAUCGUGUUUCCAAUCAAAUUUUUCAAAAAUGUCACAUGGGUUUAGUUCAUUGGUUGACUAAAACUUCCUCUGAGUUUAGUUCUUUAGUGUGUUUCUAUUCAGACUUGGCUAAAAUUUCACCUAAAUUUUGUUCCUUGGUGCAUUUUCAAUAAAAUCUAACUAAAAUUUUUCCUAUGCUUUGUUCAUUGGCAUGUUUUCAAUUAAAUUUGACUAACACUUCACGUGGGUUUAGUUCAUUGGCGCGUUUCCAAUCAAAUUUAACUAAAAUUUCACCUGAGUUUUGUUCAUUGGCGCGUUUCCAAUAGAAUUUGACUGAAAUAUCAUCUAGGCUUAGUUCAUUGGCACGCUUCUAGUCAAAUCUGAUUAAAAUUUCACCUGAAUUUUGUUCUUUAGCACGUUUCCAAUCAAAUUUGGCUAAAAUUUCCCCUGCAUUACGUUCAUUGGCGCGUUUCCAAUCAAAUUUGACUAAAAUAUAACCUAGGUUCAGUUCAUUAGCACAUUUCCAAUCAAAUUUAACUAAAAUUUCACUCGAGCUUAGUUCAUCGGGGCAUUUCCAAUCCAAAAUUUGAUUAAAAUUCACAUGAGUUUGGUUCAUUGGCGCGAUGCAGAUCAAAUUUGACUAGAAUUUCACCAGGGUUUAGAUAAUCGGCAUGUUUCUAUUCCGACUUGACUAAAAUUUUAUCUGAAUUUUUUUUGUUAGUGCAUUUCCACUUAAAUUUGACUAAAAUUUUCUUGAGCUUAGUUCAUUAGCAUUUUUUUAAUCAAAUUUGACAGCAAUUUCACCUGGGUUUAAUUCAUUGGCAUGUUUUCAAUCAAAUUUGACUAAAGAUUCAUCAUGGUUUUCUUCAUAGGCUCAAAUUUGGCUAAAAUUUCACNNNNNNNNNNNNNNNNNNNNNNNNNNNNNNNNNNNNNNNNNNNNNNNNNNNNNNNNNNNNNNNNNNNNNNNNNNNNNNNNNNNNNNNNNNNNNNNNNNNNNNNNNNNNNNNNNNNNNNNNNNNNNNNNNNNNNNNNNNNNNNNNNNNNNNNNNNNNNNNNNNNNNNNNNNNNNNNNNNNNNNNNNNNNNNNNNNNNNNNNNNNNNNNNNNNNNNNNNNNNNNNNNNNNNNNNNNNNNNNNNNNNNNNNNNNNNNNNNNNNNNNNNNNNNNNNNNNNNNNNNNNNNNNNNNNNNNNNNNNNNNNNNNNNNNNNNNNNNNNNNNNNNNNNNNNNNNNNNNNNNNNNNNNNNNNNNNNNNNNNNNNNNNNNNNNNNNNNNNNNNNNNNNNNNNNNNNNNNNNNNNNNNNNNNNNNNNNNNNNNNNNNNNNNNNNNNNNNNNNNNNNNNNNNNNNNNNNNNNNNNNNNNNNNNNNNNNNNNNNNNNNNNNNNNNNNNNNNNNNNNNNNNNNNNNNNNNNNNNNNNNNNNNNNNNNNNNNNNNNNNNNNNNCUCGCAUAUUUUUAACGCUUGGAUUUUCGACCUUCGAAGAAAUGAGCGUAACUUAUGCAAACGGUGUCCGUUUUGGGCCCAUAAGUACUUUUCGGAAAUGUAGCGACCCUUUUGGAUUGAACUCACAACUUCGUCGUGACGUAUGAGGGAUUUUGACCAUUUUAUGAAGAACGUGCACCUGCAUAUUUGGAUUGACGUUGUUCGAAGAAUUAAGCGGAACUUUUACAGACGGUGUCCGUUAUACGACCAUAGGUACUUUUCGAAAAUGUUGCGACCGUUUAGGGUUUAGCACACGAUUUCGUAAUGACGUAUUAGGGUUUUUGUCCUUUUUUUGAAGAACGACCACUCGCAUAUUUUUAACGCUUGGAUUUUCGACCUUCGAAGAAAUGAGCGUAACUUAUGCAAACGGUGUCCGUUUUGGGCCCAUAAGUACUUUUCGGAAAUGUAGCGACCCUUUUGGACUGCACUCACAACUUCGUCGUGACAUAUGAGAGAUUUUGACCAUUUUAUGAAGAACGUGCACCUGAAUAUUUGGUUUGAUGGCAUUCGAAGAAUUGAGCAUAACUUUCGCAGACGGUUUCCGUUAUAGGACCAUAAGUACUUUUCGGAAAUUUAGCGACCAUUUUGGGUUUAGCUCACGAUUUCGUAAUGACGUAUUAGGGUUUUCGUCCUUUUUUUGAAGAACGACCACUCGCAUAUUUUUAACGCUUGAAUUUUCGACCUUCGAAGAAAUGAGCGUAACUUAUGCAAACGAUGUCCGUUUUGGGCCCACAAAUACUUUUCGGAAAUGUAGCGACCCUUUUGGACUGCACUCACAACUUCGUCAUGACGUAUGAGAGAUUUUGACCAUUUUAUGAAGAACGUGCACCUGAAUAUUUGGUUUGAUGGCAUUCGAAGAAUUGAGCAUAACUUUCGCAGACGGUGUCCGUUAUAGGACCAUAAGUACUUUUCGGAAAUGUAGCGACCAUUUUGGGUUUAGCUCACGAUUUCGUAAUGAAGUAUUAGGGUUUUCGUCCUUUUUUUGAACAACGACCACUCGCAUAUUUUUAAAGCUUGGAUUUUCGACCUUCGAAGAAAUGAGCGUAACUUAUGCAAACGGUGUCCGUUUUGGGCCCAUAAGAACUUUUCGGAAAUGUAGCGACCCUUUUGGACUGCACUCACAACUUCAUCGUGACGUACGAGGGAUUUUGACCAUUUUAUGAAGAACGUGCACCUGCAUAUUUGGAUUGACGUUGUUCGAAGAAUUGAGCAUAACUUUUGCAGACGGUGUCCGUUAUGCGACCAUAGGUACUUUUCGGAAAUGUUGCGACCCUUUAGGGUUUAGCUCACGAUUUCGUAAUGACGUAUUAGGGUUUUCGUCCUUUUUUUGAAGAACGACCACUCGCAUAUUUUUAACGCUUGGAUUUUCGACCUUCAAAGAAAUGAGCGUAACUUAUACAAACGGUGUCCGUUUUGGGCCCAUAAGUACUUUUCGAAAAUAUAGCGACCCUUUUGGAUUGAACUCACAACUUAGUUGUGACGUAUGAGGGAAUUUGACCAUUUUUUAAAGAACGUGCAGCUCCAUAUUUGGUUUGAUGGCGUUCGAAGAAUUGAGCAUAACUUUCGCAGACGGUGUCCGUUUUGGGACCAUAAGUAGUUUUCGGAAAUGUAGCGACCGUUUUGGGUUUAGCUCACGAUUUCGUAAUGAUGUAUUAGGGUUUUCGUCCUUUUUUUGAACAACGACCACUCACAUAUUUUUAACGCUUGGAUUUUCGACCUUCGAAGAAAUGAGAGUAACUUAUGCAAACGGUGUCCGUUUUGGGCCCAUAAGUACUUUUCGAAAAUGUAGCGACCCUUUUGGAUUGCACUCACAACUUUGUCGUGACGUAUGAGGGAUUUUCACCAUUUUAUGAAGAACGUGCACCUGCAUAUUUGGAUUGACGUUGUUCGAAGAAUUGAGCAUAACUUUUGCAGACGGUGUCCGUUAUGCGACCAUAGGUACUUUUCAGAAAUGUUGCGACCGUUUAGGGUUUACCUUUUUUUUUUUUUUUUUUUUUUAUUUUUAAGCAAAUACCACUAGUGUGGUUUCUUUUAUAUAAUGAAAAGCGGGAAAAAAAAUAGAGGAGGGGGCAUGGACCUGACCUCCAGAAAAUGUAAAUUGUAACAAAUAUUUAAAGAUAAAAUGCAAUUUCAGUAAACACGACACGAACAAAAACUAAUGAAAGGUACUCAAGGGUAUUCCCGAGGGUAAAUCUUCGGGUGGUAGUACAUAGACAUUGAUCGAGUCAUGCGUCUAGUUUGAAACAUUUCCGGAUCAUAGUAGUCUGCGAUGUCUGCCUCGCUCGUUGGAGAGGGGUCUCGCCUGCGUGUAGGAGCCUGCUUUGUUGAUAAGUACUGUUCAGAUGGUGGUGCAUUCAAUGACGGGCGAAAAGCGGGUGCAUAUGAUCUCAUUGUACUAGUCAUAGGUGCGUCUAAUCUCAUGGUGUUUUGUGCUACGACAUCUGAAUCAUGGGAGAUUGACCUGCUUGCUGUAGGGACAUCGUCCUCUGCAUUUUGCAUGCAGUUUCCAAGGCCCAUGCCAUCCAUGUCUCUCUGUAUAUGUUAUUUCACCUUAUGGUGUGUAGGAGCUGUGAUAGAAGGACUAGGUAAAGGUGUAUGCGUAGGAGUCUUACUCACAGAAGGUCCCUCUCCAAAGAGCUGAAAAACCAAGUCCUCAAUAGCAAAUCUCAUGGUAGAUCCAACUUUCAUUCCAUGGUCCUUCUUAAAGUGAUCAAUUAGCAUAUGCUUGACACCAUGUCGCUCUGAGCUGAUCUCAGCCAACAACCCCUGUGCAAGAGUGGUUUGAGGAACUUUCCCGAUACCUGAUCCCUGCGCUGACUGAGUACCAUCUGUGUGUGUCUUCAAUGGUGGAGAACUCAUAUGCAUCGGCUCAGGGGGUACAUCAAUAGUAGCUGUGGGAAUAGGAGCUAUGGAAGUAAUAAUAGGAGAAGUGGGUACCUCGAUAGGAGCAUUUGGAGUAGGCUCAACAACUGAAUAAAUAUACGGAGGUACCUCUGGAUCAACUGUGAUACGAGUAGAGGUAGGAACUGUCGAUGCAGAUUCUGACUCUGUCACAACUGCGGUAGUAGUAGUGGGUAGCACAAAAGGCACUGCUGAAACUGGAACCCACUGCUUCUUUGGCUCCACAAACGUCACCUUGCCCUUAUCCUUAUCAGUCCUAGUAAUAGGGGGCCAAACAGGGGGGUGCACAACAACUGUAGGAGGAGGAGGGGGAACUGUAGUACACUGAUCAUAAGAAUGACCCAAGUGUUUACAAGAGAAGCAAAAAAUUGGCCGCUUCUCAUAGAUAACUGUCUACCAGAAGCCACGAUUACCAGCACGCUCAAUCCAAACCCUGUCGGGCAACUUAUGCUCCAAAUUCACCUCAAUGCACACCCUUGCCUCACUAGGUCGUCUCAAGUCGGUGGUGGCCUCAUCAAUUCUCAAGGGCAUUCCUAUUGCCCCAGAUAAGGCGAAAAGGAACCCCUUCGCACGUAAAUGUACUGGAAGCAGAGGGAACGAUACCCAUACAGGAACUAUCGGAGUCUCUUGCUCAGGUGUAAAGUCACAUGUCCACUUAAGGACUCUCAUCGGACAACCAUCAAUAUACCAUGAAGGUUUAAGAAAAAGCCUGCUGUAAUCUUCCUCAUGUGUAAGGUGUAUAAGAAUGUGUGUUCUGUCAAUCAGUCCCACCUCGAAACAACCAUGGAACCCAAACUUAGAAAAAAUCUCACGUACCUUCCGCAUGGUUGGCUUGCGAUGUGGAAAUUUCCCCACAAGUGUAUACUUGUAAGGAUUAGCGAGUGUAGCCUCCUCGGUCUCAGUCAAAACUAUUGCCGGCUCACCCAUAUGUAUAAAGGGUUCUUUAGUAGCAAGCCCAGCAGUGGAAGAGUCAUCUAUACCCUGUAUAACCGAUGCAAACGACUUCCGUGAACUCCCUUCAGCUUGAGAUAGGCCCGGACGGCCAGAAACUGCAGUAGCAUAGGUCUUUCGGCCCUGAUUGAGCACUGUCUGGGCCUCAUGUGGAAAAACCGAUGACGAAAAUGGAUUCAGAUUAACUGGAAGAACAUUUUGAUCAAAAGUUGCCGGAGGACCACCGGAACGCCGCCGGCCGGCCGCUAGCGGCUCCGUUUUCCGGCCAAAAUCAACCGGAGGCAGAAUUUUAUGAUUUUCAACAGUCAUGUGCCAAAUUUCAUGCUGAAUAAUACGGUCAGGCACAUUUCCCAACGUGAGAACCGUAGAGGCCGAAAAUCGUAAUUUUUUGACAAACUGCCCGUUUACGUUUGGUGCCAUAACAGGAGCGUCCGACCUCCGAUUGUAGUGAUUUUUUAACCAAAGGUUUACCAUUUCAUGGGAAUUCGGAAUAUCUGGCGCGUGUCCCUGUUGGACCAUCGUACGAGAAUUAAUUCCAAAAUCAGUUUUUGGCUGCACUUUUUCCAAAGCUUCAAUUCCGACGAAAUUGGACGUCAAGGACACCACCCCAAGGGUUUUUGGGCCUUCUGAGUUCAUUGGUGGUGGUCCCAUAUCCAAAUUCUGAUCAGAAGUGGACAUUUCGAUAACAUUGAGAUUCGUGCCAUGAUUUUUCAAACUUAGAUCUAUUGAGUUGGUUGAUGAAUCUGAUAUUGGUAUUAUAGGAGAUGUUUGGAUGGUUGUUGGUGAUGAUUUUCCACCACUUGGAGUGCUACAAUCCGGUGGUUUUGGUGGUGGAUCGAGUUUAUUGGAGUGUUGGUGGUUUUCUCCCAUUCUAGAGAGAGGAGAGAGCUUUUUAGGCUAGCUAGCAAGAGUUCUUCCCGUUUAGGGUUUAGCUCACGAUUUCGUAAUGACGUAUUAGGGUUUUCGUCCUUUUUUUGAAGAACGACCACCCGCAUAUUUUUAACGCUUGGAUUUUCGACCUUCGAAGAAAUGAGCGUAACUUAUGCAAACGGUGUCCGUUUUGGGCGCAUAACUACUUUUCGAAAAUGUAGCGACCCUUUUGGAUUGCACUCACAACUUCGUCGUGACGUAUGAGGGAUUUUGACCAUUUUUUGAAGAACAUGCAGCUGCAUAUUUGGAUUGACGGCGUUCGAAGAAUUGGGCAUAACUUUUGCAGACGGUGUCCGUUAUGCGACCAUAAGUAUUUUUGGAAAUGUUGCAACCGUUUAGGGUUUAGCUCACGAUUUCGUAAUGACGUAUUAGGAUUUUUGUCCUUUUUUUGAUGAACGGCCACUCGUAUAUAUUUUAACGCUUGGAUUUUCGACCUUCGAAGAAAUGAGCGUAACUUAUGCAAAAGGUGUCCGUUUUGGGCGCAUAAGUACUUUUUGAAAAUGUAGCGACCCUUUUGGAUUGAACUCACAAAUUUGUCGUGACGUAUGAGGGAUUUUGACCAUUUUAUGAAGAACGUGCUCCUGCAUAGUUGGAUUGAUGGCGUUCGAAGAAUUGAGCAUAACUUUUGCAGACGGUGUCCGUUAUGCGACCAUAAGUACUUUUUGGAAAUGUACUUUUUGGAUUUUCGACCUUCGAAGAAAUGAGCGUAACUUAUGCAAACGGUGUUCGUUUUGGGCCCAGAAGUACUUUUUGGAAAUGUAACGACCCUUUUGGAUUACACUCACAACUUCGUCGUGACGUAUGAGGGAUUUUGACAAUUUUUUGAAGAAUGUGCAGCUGCAUAUUUGGAUUGACGGCGUUCGAAGAAUUGAGCAUAACUUUUGCCGACGGUGUCCGUUAUGCGACCAUAACGGUGUCCAUUAUGAUGUCAUUAUGAAAUCGUGAGCUAAACCCAAAACGGUCGCUACAUUUCCGAAAAGUACUUAUGGUACCAUAACGGACACCGUUUGCGAAAGUUAAGCUCAAUUCUUCGAACGCCAUAAGUACUUUUUGGAAAUGUUGUGACCGUUUAGCGUUUAGCUCACGAUUUCGUAAUGACAUAUAAGGAUUUUCGUCCUUUUUUUGAAGAUCGACCACUCGCAUAUAUUUUAACGCUUGGAUUUUCGACCUUCGAAGAAAUGAGCGUAAGUUAUGCAAAAGCUGUCCGUUUUGGGCCCAUAAGUACUUUUCGGAAAUGUAGCGACCCUUUUGGAUUGCACUCACAACUUCGUCAUGACGUAUGAGGGAUUUUGACCUUUUUUGAAGAACGUGCAGCAGCAUAUUUGGAUUGACGGCGUUCGAAGAAUUGAGCAUAACUUUUGCAGACGGUGUCCGUUAUGACGUCAUUAUGAAAUCGUGAGCUAAACCCAAAACGGUCGCUACAUUUCCGAAAAGUACUUAUGGUACCAUAACGGACACCGUUUGCGAAAGUUACGCUCAAUUUUUCGAACGCCAUAAGUACUUUUUGUAAAUGUUGUGACCGUUUAGCAUUUAGCUCACGAUUUCGUAAUGACAUAUUAGGAUUUUCGUCCUUUUUUUGAAGAACGACCACUCGCAUAUAUUUUAACGCUUGGAUUUUCGACCUUCGAAAAAAUGAGCGUAAGUUAUGCAAAAGCGUCCGUUUUGGGCCCAUAAGUACUUUUUGAAAAUGUAGCGACCCUUUUGGAUUGAACUCACAAAUUUGUCAUGACGUAUGAGGGAUUUUGACCAUUUUAUGAAGAACGUGCUCCUGCAUAUUUGGAUUGAUUGCGUUCGAAGAAUUGAGCAUAACUUUUGCAGACAGUGUCCGUUAUGCGACCAUAAGUAAUUUUCGAAAAUGUUGCGACCGUUUUGGGUUUAGCUCACGAUUUCGUAAUGACGUAUUAGGGUUUUCGUCCUUUUUUUGAAGAACGACCACUCGCAUAUUUUUAACGCUUGGACUCUCGACCUUCGAAGAAAUGAGGCGUAACUUAUGCAAACGGUGUCCGUUUUGGGCCCAUAAGUACUUUUCGGAAAUGUAGCGACCCUUUUUGAUUGAACUCACCACUUCGUCGUUACGUAUGAGGGAUUUUGACCAUUUUUUGAAGAAUGUGCAGCUGUAUAUUUGGAUUGACGGCGUUCGAAGAAUUGAGCCUAACUUUUGGAGACGGUGUUCGUUAUGCGACCAUAAGUACUUUUUGGAAAUGCUGCGACCGUUUAGGGUUUAACUCACAAUUUCGUAAUGACGUAAAAGGAUUUUCAUCCUUUUUUUGAAGAACGAUCACUCGCAUAUUUUUAACGCUUGGACUCUCGACCUUCGAAGAAAUGAGGCGUAACUUAUGCAAACGGUAUCCGUUUCGGGCCCAUAAGUACUUUUCGGAAAUGUAACGACCCUUUUGGAUUGGACUCACAACUUCGUCGUGACGUAUGAGGGAUUUUGACCAUUUUAUGAAGAACGUGCACCUGCAUAUUUGGAUUGACGUUGUUCGAAGAAUUGAGCAUAACUUUUGAAGACGGUGUCCGUUUUGGGACCCUAAGUAGUUUUCAGAAAUGUAGCGACCGUUGUGGGUUUAGCUCACGAUUUAGUAAUGACGUAUUAGAGUUUUCGUCCUUUUUUUGAAGAACGACCACUCACAUAUUUUUAACGCUUGGAUUUUCGACCUUCGAAGAAAUGAGCGUAACUUAUGCAAACGAUGUCCGUUUUGGGCCCAUAAGUACUAUUCAGAAAUGUAGCAACCCUUUUCGACUGCACUCACAACUUCGUCGUGACGUAUGAGGGAUUUUGACCAUAUUAUGAAGAACGUUCACCUGCAUAUUUGGAUUGACGUUGUUCGAAUAAUUGAGAAUAACUUUUGCAGACGGUGUCCGUUAUGCGACCAUAGGUACUUUUCAAAAAUGUUGCGACCAUUUAGGGUUUAGCUCACGAUUUCGAAAUGACGUACUAGGGUUUUCGUCCUUUUUUUGAAGAACGACCACUCGCAUAUUUUUAACGCUUGGAUUUUCGACCUUCGAAGAAAUGAGCGUAACUUAUGCAAACGGUGUCCAUUUUGGGCCCAUAAGUACUCUUCAGAAAUGUAGCGACCCUUUUGAAUUGCACUCACCACUUCGUCGUGACGUAUGAGGGAUUUUGACCAUUUUAUGAAGAAUGUGCACCUGCAUGUUUGGAUUGACAUUGUUCGAAGAAUUGAGCAUAACUUUUGCAGACGGUGUCCGUUAUGGGACCAUAAGUAGUUUUCGAAAAUGUUGCGACCGUUUAGGGUUUAGCUCAUGAUUUCGUAAUGACGUAUUAGGGUUUUCGUCCUUUUUUCGAAGAAUUACCACUCACAUAUUUUAAACGCUUGGAUUUUCGACCUUCGAAGAAAUGAGCGUAACUUAUUCAAACGGUGUCCGUUUUGGGCCCAUAAGUACUUUUCAAAAAUGUAGCGACCCUUUUGGACUGCACUCACAACUUCAUCGUGACGUAUGAGGGAUUUUGAUCAUUUUAUGAAGAACGUGCACCUGCAUAUUUGGAUUGACGUUGUUCGAAGAAUUGAGCAUAACUUUUGCAGACUGUGUCCGUUAUGCGACCAUAGGUACUUUUUUUUUUUGUAAGGACAUCCACACAUCCUUAGUGAAUUUUUAGGGUCCACCAAGGAAGGUCAAUGGGGGUUAAGGGUUUCCCAACCAUAUUUAUUUCAUAAAAAUCAAGAAUACACGGAAGGAGGGGGGCAUGAACCUGACCUCCAAAAAGCAGUGUGCGACGAUAAGUACUUUUUGGAAAUGUUGCGACCGUUUAGGGUUUAGCUCACGAUUUCGUAAUGACGUAUUAGGGUUUUCGUCCUUUUUUUGAAGAACGUCCACUCGCAUAUAUUUUAACGCUUGGAUUUUCGACCUUCGAAGAAAUGAGCGUAACUUAUGCAAACGGUGUCCGUUUUGGGCCCAUAAGUACUUUUCGAAAAUGUAGCAACCAUUUUGGAUUGAACUCAAAACUUCGUCUGACAUAUGAGGGAUUCUCACCAUUUUAUGAAGAACGUGCACCUGCAUAUUUGGAUUGACGUUGUUCGAUGAAUUGAGCAGAACUUUUGCAGACGGUGUCCGUUAUGCGACCAUAGGUACUUUUCGAAAAUGUUGCGACCGUUUAGGGUUUAGCUCACGAUUUCGAAAUCACGUAUUAAAGUUUUCAUCCUUUUUUUGAAGAACGACCACUCGCAUAUUUUUAACGCUUGGAUUUUCGACCUUCGAAGAAAUGAGCAUAACUUAUGCAAACGGUGUCCGUUUUGGGCCCAUAAGUACUUUUCGGAAAUGUAGCGACCCUUUUGGAUUGAACUCACAACUUCGUCGUGACGUAUGAGGGAUUUUGACAAUUUUUUGAAGAACGUGCANNNNNNNNNNNNNNNNNNNNNNNNNNNNNNNNNNNNNNNNNNNNNNNNNNNNNNNNNNNNNNNNNNNNNNNNNNNNNNNNNNNNNNNNNNNNNNNNNNNNNNNNNNNNNNNNNNNCACGAUUUCGUAAUGACGUAUUAGGGUUUUCGUCCUUUUUUUGAAGAACGACCACUCGCAUAUUUUGAACGCUUGGAGUGUCGUCCUUCGAAGAAAUUAGCGUAACUUUUGCAAACGGUGUCCGUUUUGGGCCCAUAAGUACUUUUCGGAAAUGUAGCGACCCUUUUGGAUUGAACUCACCACUUCGUCGUGACGUAUGAGGGAUUUUGACCAUUUUAUGAAGAACGUGCACCUGCAUAUUUGGAUUGACGUUGUUCGAAGAAUUGAGCAUAACUUUUGCAGACGGUGUCCGUUAUGCUACCAUAGGUACUUUUCGGAAAUGGUGCGACUGUUUAGGGUUUAACUCACAAUUUCGUAAUGACGUAUUAGGGUUUUCGUCCUUUUUUUGAAGAACGACCACUCGCAUAAUUUUAAUGCUUGGAUUUUCGACCUUCGAUGAAAUGAGCAUAACUUAUGCAAACGGUGUCCGUUUUGGACCCAUAAGUACUUUUCGAAAAUGUAGCGAUCCUUUUGGAUUGAACUCACGACUUCGUCGUGACGUGUGAGGGAUUUUUACCAUUUUAUGAAGAACGUGCACAUGCAUAUUUGGAUUGACGUUGUUCGAAGAAUUGAGCAUAACUUUUGCUGACGGUAUCCGUUAUGCGACCAUAGGUACUUUUCGGAAAUGUUGCGACCGUUCAGGGUUUAGCUCAUGAUUUCGUAAUGACGUAUUAGGGUUUUCGUCCUUUUUUUGAAGAACGACCACUCGCAUAUUUUUAACAGCUUGGAUUUUCGACCUUCGAAGAAAUGAGCAUAACUUAUGCAAACGGUGUCCGUUUUGGGCCCAUAAGUACUUUUCAGAAAUGUAGCGACCCUUUUGAAUUGCACUCACAACUUCGUCGUGACGUGUGAGGGAUUUUGACCAAUUUAUGAAGAACGUGCACCUGCAUAUUUGGAUUGACGUUGUUCGAAGAAUUGAGCAUAACUUUUGAAGACGGUGUCCGUUAUGCGACCAUAGGUACUUUUCGGAAAUGUUGCGACCAUUUAGGGUUUAGCUCAUGAUUUUGUAAUGACGUAAUAGGGUUUUCGUCCUUUUUUUGAAGAACGACCACUCGCAUAUUUUUAAUGCUUGGAUUUUUGACCUUCGAAGAAAUGAGCGUAACUUAUGCAAACGGUGUCCGUUUUGGGCCCAUAAGUACUUUUCGAAAAUAUAGCGAUCCUUCUGGAUUGAACUCACGAAUUCGUAGCUACGUAUGAGGGAUUUUGACCAUUUUUUGAAGAACAUGCAGCUGCAUAUUUGGAUUGACAGCGUUCGAAGAAUUGGGCAUUACUUUUGCAGACGGUGUUCGUUUUGGGACAAUAAGUAGUUUUCGAAAAUGUAGCAACCGUUGUGGGUUUUGCUCACCAUUUCGUAAUGAUGUAUUAGGGUUUUCAUCUUUUUUUUGAAGAACGACCACUCGUGUAUUUUUAACGCUUGGAUUUUCGAUCGUCGAUGAAAUGAGCAUAACUUAUGCAAACGGUGUCUGUUUCGGGCCCAUAAGUUCUUUUCGGAAAUGUAGCGACCCUUUUGGACUGCACUAACAACUUCGUCGUGACAUAUGAGGGAUUUCGAUCAUUUUAUGAAGAACGUGCACCUGCAUAAUUGGAUUGACGUUGUUCGAAGAAUUGAGCAUAACUUUUGCAGACGGUGUCCGUUAUGCGACCAUAGGUACUUCUCGGAAAUGUUGCGACCGUUUAGGGUUUAGCUGACGAUUUCGUAAUGACGUAUUAGGGUUUUCAUCCUUUUUUUGAAGAACGACCACUCGCAUAUAUUUUAACGCUUGGAUUUUUGACUGUCGAAGAAAUGAGCGUAACUUAUGCAAACGGUGUCCGUUUUGGGCCCAUAAGUACUUUUCGGAAAUGUAGCAACCCUUUUGGACUGCACUCACAACUUCGUCGUGACGUAUGAGGGAUUUUGACCAUUUUUUGAAGAACAUGCAGCUGCAUAUUUGGAUUGGCAGCGUUUGAAGAAUUGAGCAUAACUUUCGGAGACAGUGUCCGUUUUGGGACCAUAAUUAGUUUUCGAAAAUGUAGCAACCGUUGUGGGUUUAGCUCACGAUUUCGUACUGACGUAUUAGGGUUUUUAUCCUUUUUUUGAAGAACGACCACUCGCAUAUUUUUAACGCUUGGAUUUUCGACCUUCGAAGAAAUGAGCGUAACUUAUGCAAACGGUGUCCGUUUCGGGCCCAUAAGUACUUUUCGGAAAUGUAGCGACCCUUUUGGACUGCACUAACAACUUCGUCGUGACGUGUGAGGGAUUUUGACCAUUUUAUGAAGAACGUGCACCUGCAUAUUUGGAUUGACGUUGUUCGAAGAAUUGAGCAUAACUUUUGCGGAUGGUGUCCGUUAUGCGACCAUAAGUACUUUUCGGAAAUGUUGCGACCAUUAAGGGUUUAGCUCACGAUUUAGUAAUGACGUAAUAGGGUUUUUGUUUUUCUUGUGAAGAACGACCACUCGCAUAUUUUUAAUGCUUGGAUUUUCGACCUUCGAAGAAAUGAGCGUAACUUAUGCAAACGGUGUCCGUUUUGGGCCCAUAAGUACUUUUCGAAAAUGUAGCGAUCCUUUUGGAUUGAACUCACGACUUCGUCGUGACGUAUGAGGGAUUUUGACCAUUUUUUGAAGAACAUGCAGCUGCAUAUUUGGAUUGACAGCGUUUGAAGAAUUGAGCAUAACUUUCGUAGACGGUGUCCGUUAUACGACCAUAGGUACUUUUCGAAAAAGUUGCGACCGUUUGGGUUUUAGCUCACGAUUUCGUAAUGACGUAUUAGGGUUUUCGUCCUUUUUUUGAAGAACGACCACUCGCAUAUUUUUAACUCUUGGAUUUUCGAUCGUCGAUGAAAUGAGCGUAACUUAUGCAAACAGUGUCCGUUUCGGGCCCAUAAGUACUUUUUGGAAAUGUAGCGACCCUUUUGGACUGCACUCAUAGCUUCGUCGUGACGUACGAGGGAUUUUCACCAUUUUAUGAAGAACGUGCAGCUGCAUAUUUGGAUUGAUGGCGUUCGAAGAAUUGAGCAUAACUUUUGCAGACGGUGUCCGUUAUGGGGCCAUAAGUACAUUUCGAAAAUAUAGCGACCGUUUUGGGUUUAGCUCACGAUUUCGUAAUGACGUAUUAGGGUUUUCGUCCUUUUUUUGAAGAACGACCACUCGCAUAUUUUUAACGCUUGGAUUUUCGACCUUCGAAGAAAUGAGCGUAACUUAUGCUAACGGCAUCCGUUUUGGGCCCAUAAGUACUUUUUGGAAAUGUAGCGACCCUUUUGGACUACACUCACAACUUCGUCGCGACGUAUGAUGGAUUUUGACCAUUUUAUGAAGAACGUGCACCUGCAUAUUUGGAUUGACGUUGUUCGAAGAAUUUAGCAUAACUUUUGCAGACGGUGUCUGUUAUGCGACCAUAAGUACUUUUCGGAAAUGUUGCGACCAUUUAGGGUUUAGCUCACGAUUUCGUAAUGACGUAUUAGGGUUUUCGUCCUUUUUUUGAACAACGACCACUCGCAUAUUUUUAACGCUUGGAUUUUCGACCUUCGAAGAAAUGAGCGUAACUUAUGCAAACGGUGUCCGUUUUGGGUCCAGAAGUACUUUUCGGAAAUGUAGCGACCCUUUUGGACUACACUCACAACUUCGUCGUGACGUAUGAGGGAUUUUGACCAUUUUAUGAAGAUCGUGCACCUGCAUAUUUGGAUUGAUGUUGUUCGAAGAAUUGAGCUUAACUUUUGCAGACGGUGUCCGUUAUGCGACCAUAGGUACUUUUCGGAAAUGUUGCGACCAUUUAGGGUUUAGCUCAGGAUUUCGUAAUGACGUAUUAGGGUUUUCGUCCUUUUUUUGAAGAACGACCACUCGCAUGUUUUUAACGCUUGGAUUUUCGACCUUCGAAGAAAUGAGCGUAACUUAUGCAAACGGUGUCCAUUUUGUGCCCAUAAGUACUUUUCGAAAAUGUAGCGACCCUUUUGGAUUGAACUCACAACUUCGUCGUGACGUAUGAGGGAUUUUGACCAUUUUUUUAAGAACGUGCUGCUGCAUAUUUGGAUUGACAGCGUUCGAAGAAUUGAGCAGAACUUUUGCAGACGGUGUCCGUUAUGCGACCAUAGGUACUUUUCGGAAAUGUUGCGACCGUUUAGGGUUUAGCUUUUUUUUUUUUUAAGCAAAUACCACUAGUGUGGUUUAUUUUAUAUAAUGAAAAGCGGGAAAACAAAUAGAGGAGGGGGGCAUGGACCUGACCUCCAGAAAAUGUAAAUUGUAACAAAUAUUUGAAGAUAAAAUGCAAUCACAGUAAACAAGACACGAACAAAAACUAAUGAUAGGUACUCAAGGGUAUUCCCGAGGGUAAAUCUUCGGGUGGUAGUACAUAGACAUUGAUCGAGUCAUGCGUCUGGUUUGAAACAUUUCUGGAUCAUAGUAGUCUGUGAUGUCUGGCUCGCUCGUUGGAGAGGGGUCUCGCCUGCGUGUAGGAGCCCGCUUUGUUGAUAAGUACUGUUCAGAUGGUGGUGCACUGAAUGUCGGGCGAAAAGCGGGUGCAUCUGAUCUCAUUGUACUAGUCGUAGGUGUGUCUAAUCUCAUGGUGUUCUGUGCUACGACAUCUGAAUCGUGGGAGAUUGACCUGCUUGCUGUAGGGACAUCGUCUUCCGCAUUUUGCAUGCAGUUUCCAAGGCCCAUGCCAUCCAUGUCUCUCUGUAUAUGUUCUUUCACCUUAUUGUGUGUAGGAGCUGUGAUAGAAGGACUAGGUGAAGGUGUAUGCGUAGGAGUCUUACUCACAGAAGGUCCUUCUCCAAAGAGCUUAAAAACCAAGUCCUCAAUAGCAAAUCUCAUGGUAGAUCCAACUUUCAUUCCAUGGUCCUUCUUAAAGUGAUCAAUCAGCAUAUGCUUGACACCAUGUCGCUCUGAGCUGAUCUCAGCCAACAACCCCUGUGCAAGAGUGGUUUGAGGAACUGUCCCGGUACCUGAUCCCUGCGCUGAUUGAGUACUAUCUGUGUGUGUCUUUAAUGGUGGAGAACUCAUAUGUGUCGGCUCAGGGGGUACAUCAGUAGUAGCUGUGGGAAUAGGAGCUAUGGAAGUAAUAAUAGGAGAAGUGGGUACCUCGAUAGGAGCAUUUGGAGUAGGCUCAGCAACUGAAUGAAUAUACGGAGGUACCUCUGGAUCAACUGUGAUACGAGUAGAGGUAGGAACUGCCAAUGCAGAUUCUGAUUCUGUCACAACUGCGGUAGUAGUAGUGGGAAGCACAGAAGGCACUGCUGAAACUGGAACCCACUGCUUCUUUGGCUCCACAAACGUCACCUUGCCCUUAUCCUUAUCAGUCCUAGUAAUAGGGGGCCGAACAGGGGGGUGCACAACAACUGCAGGAGGAGGAGGAGGAACCGUAGUACACUGAUCAUAAGAAUGACCCAAGUGUUUACAAGAGAAGCAAAAAAUUGGCCGCUUCUCAUAGAUAACUGUCUGCCAGAAGCCACGGUUACCAGCGCGCUCAAUCCAAACCCUGUCGGGCAACUUAUGCCCCAAAUUCACCUCAAUGCACACCCUUGCCUCACUAGGUCGUCUCAAGUCGGUGGUGGCCUCAUCAAUUCUCAAGGGCAUUCCUAUUGCCCCAGAUAAGGCGAAAAGGAACCCCUUCGCACGUAAAUGUACUGGAAGCAGAGGGAACGAUACCCAUACGGGAACUAUCGGAGUCUCUUGCUCAGGUGUAAAGUCACAUGUCCACUUAAGGACUCUCAUUGGACAACCAUCAAUAUACCAUGAAGGUUUAAGAAAAAGCCUGCUG
This 23829-nucleotide long non-coding RNA is filed under the name Olea europaea subsp. europaea. The record is from RNAcentral. Lineage: Eukaryota; Viridiplantae; Streptophyta; Magnoliopsida; Lamiales; Oleaceae.